UAGCCCUGAGAGAGGGAGUGAAUGUUACACGCUGCUGAUAAUCUCCAGAAGUGAUCCAUUUCUGUAAUCGGAUCUCUUCUCCAGUCAGAGAGACCUAACACAUCAGUCUUCAUAUAUCAUCUUCAUGAGCUAAAUUGCCAGAGAAGUUUAUGAUCUAACUUCAGAAAAAUUCUCUGUGAAAACAAAUCAUUUAUUUUUCCAGAUGCCUGGACUGGAGUAUGCAACAUGCGACAUUCAAGAGCCCUGCAACCUCUAACCCAAAACAGUAUGACUAAGAUUUACACUACCAGCAGGCCUCUUUCUUCUGGGGGAGAGGAGCCAAGAGGGAAUUUCCUACCUCUUCCUCUCAAGCAGGAUUAUCUUGUACUGGAAUUCCAGAACAGUGUGAAACAGAAAGAAGCAAAAGAAAUACAAAACUAACAUGGGAAAUAUUGGGAGAAAAAGUGGAAAGAGAGAAAUCCUGCCAUUUCUGCUAAUCUACUUGAGCUUUCAAAUACUUUUUCUUUUUGAGCUCUCAAAUAUGAAAGUUCAAAAUUCAAUGCACUCACAAUAAAUUUGGAUACAUGGCUUGAUAAGGAGUAUGG
Molecule: long non-coding RNA, 584 nt
Filed under: Anser cygnoides (Swan goose)
Lineage: Eukaryota; Metazoa; Chordata; Aves; Anseriformes; Anatidae
Description: lncRNA (ENSACDG00005006118.1)
Source: RNAcentral